RNAcentral lists this ribosomal RNA (468 nucleotides) under uncultured bacterium. Its description in RNAcentral is "partial 16S ribosomal RNA". It matches the Rfam family "Bacterial small subunit ribosomal RNA", at positions 28 to 507 of the family's 1533-position model. The record is from RNAcentral.
GACGAACGCUGGCGGCGUGCUUAACACAUGCAAGUCGAACGGAAAGGCCCUGCUUUUGUGGGGUGCUCGAGUGGCGAACGGGUGAGUAACACGAGAGUAACCUGCCCUUGACUUUGGGAUAACUUCAGGAAACUGGGGCUAAUACCGGAUAGGAGCUCCUGCUGCAUGGUGGGGGUUGGAAAGUUUCGGCGGGUGGGGAUGGACUCGCGGCUUAUCAGCUUGUUGGUGGGGUAGUGGCUUACCAAGGCUUUGACGGGUAGCCGGCCUGAGAGGGUGACCGGCCACAUUGGGACUGAGAUACGGCCCAGACUCCUACGGGAGGCAGCAGUGGGGAAUAUUGCACAAUGGGCGGAAGCCUGAUGCAGCAACGCCGCGUGCGGGAUGACGGCCUUCGGGUUGUAAACCGCUUUCGCCUGUGACGAAGCGUGAGUGACGGUAAUGGGUAAAGAAGCACCGGCUAACUACGUG